Molecule: long non-coding RNA, 2264 nt
Filed under: Canis lupus familiaris (dog)
Lineage: Eukaryota; Metazoa; Chordata; Mammalia; Carnivora; Canidae
Description: lncRNA (ENSCAFG00845018829.1)
Source: RNAcentral
UUUUUUUUUUUUUUUACAAAUAGUACAUAUGCAAAAAGGAAGAAAUUCUGAAGAGAUCCAAAUAAGCCUGCUAUUUUAUUUUGCUUAAUUAUUAAUGAAGAAAUAUGAGCAUUAUCACUUUCUUUUUAAGUUUAAUAACUUAAAAUGUGAAUUCUGAAAAUAUACUAUAAGUUACACUUAGUAGAUUUCAAGACAGUAUCUAGGAGAGGCCUUGUGGUGCUUGGAUUAUACUAAACAAGCUUUGAAAAAAAUAUCAAUCAGGUCUUGUAUGGAUGUAUCAUUUAGUCACAGCUCCUUAUGGACCAUAUGAGGUGUUUGUUAGUGCAUGAAUUUUACAUCUUCCUAAAUUAAAAACUCUAUUUUAUCUUAAAUAUAAAAUAUUUUGUGUUGUUUCUAUUGUAGAAGUUCUACUUCUUUCUUUAUUUUUUAAUCUCUUAUGUGUGUAUUGAUUUAAUCCUAAAUACCAAGUAAUAUUACAUAGUACUGCAGAUCUCUAGGCUUGCAAGUGAUCCCUCUAAUGAUUCAGUUGAAAUGGAGACUGGAAUAAUAAAAAUAGACUUAAAGGCAUUAAGAGAUUGAUAGAAUGAUAAAUUCAUCACCAAUUUAACCAAUUUACUUAGCUAGAGGAUGUCUAGGGAUGGAAAAUGAUAUUUAAAACUGAUUUUACUUUUGAGAGUUUAUGUCAUUUUUCAAUUAGCAAUAAUUGUGCUAUAGACAAAGUUCAUCGGCCACCAUACCGCCACUGCACAAAACUUUGUCAUUUUUAAUGUAGUUUUCUCGAUACAAAUUUUCUUUUAGAACAGCAGUAAGAAAGGAGUGCAUACUAUCCAAGUAAAUGAGUAAGUCCUCGUUAGGCAUUUUUAAAGUAAACUUAAAAUAUAAGUCCUAUUUAAAUUUAAAUUUAAUUUAUUAACUAUUGAGGCACUGUUUGGAGAUAGCAUACUAGGGAUAGAUUGCAGGUGGCUUAUAAAAAAUGAAUUAUAAUAAUCCAUUCUUCUAAAAAAGUAGAAAAUCAUAUACCUUUGUAAUCAUGUUUGAGGAUGUAAAUUUUAGUUGUAAAUUAAUUGAUUCAUUCAAUAUUUCCUGAAUAUCAUCUCUCCUUCAGACACUAUGGCUAGGCCUUGAGUCUGCAGUGGUGAAUCAAACCCAGAAGAGCGCACUGCAAACUUAAGUCGGCAGUCAACAGAAAAAUGCCAGAAGAAACACAGAUGGUGACUACACUUAUCAUGGGGAGCACUGAGUAAUGUAUAAAAUUGUCAAAUUACCAUGUUACACCAGAAACUAAUAUAAUAUUAUAUGUCAACUAUAUUUUAAUAUUUUUUUUAAAAGUAAGUGUAAGAGAGUUGGAGUCAGGAAAGAGGAAAUAUUUAGUUAGGGGCAUCAGCCUUUCCUGGAGGAGGAAGCAUUUAAGUUGAAACUUGAAAGAUAGUUAAAAUUUCAACAGAUAAUUAGAGAGAGGAGGGAUUUCUCUGGGAGUUAUAAUUAACAGUAUGUGGAAAGGCAGGAAGCAAGAAUUCAGGAAAUAUGCAAGAAGUAACCUAGGGAAUUCUCUUGCGGUAUUGUGUAGAGACUCAUACUAUCCUUUCUGCCUCUCAGAUGAGAUUAUGGGUUCAGUGAUUUCUAUGCAGUUAGGAAAUUUCGGAAGGUCUUCCAUUUCUUCUUCUUUAUAAAUUAUUUUCUCAGUUAAUUUUUCUUUCCGUCCUCACAAACCUAUCAUCAAGGACCAAUUCCAUUCUUGCCCUGCUCCAAUCUACUUUCUGCAUAGCAGCAGCCAGAGAAAAUGAUGUCAGAGUCUCUCUUUUCUGUUCCAAACUUAUCAGUGUUUCAGGGUUGCCUGGAUGGCUCUCAGUCAGUUGAAUGUCGGACUCUUGAUUUUUAGCUCAGGUCAUGAUCUCAGGGUUGUGAGAUUGAGCCUGGCAUCUGGCUCUGUACUAGGCAUGGAGCUUACUUCAGAUUCUCUCCUUUCCCCCUCCUUUCCUUCUCUCCCUUCCUCUCUUAAAACAACAAAUCAAUGUUUUCUUUUUUCACAGUUCCUGAAAUAAAUAAGAUCUAACAAAAUUUUAUCUAACAAAAUUUUAUCUGAAAGUUCCUAAAAACUUCUCCUAAAUUUGCCGCACUAGUUAGUAUCAUUCAGGUACCAGCUAAAUGUCAGUUUCUCAAUGAUUUCUUUCCUGACUCACCUAAUCUAAAUAGGCUUUCCUUUUUAUCCUCUCUUGUGUAACUCAAUCCUUUUUCUUCCUUUUGUUGAAAGGACUUGCAUAUUC